GAUGAAGAACGUAGCGAAAUGCGAUAAGUAGUGUGAAUUGCAGAAUUCAGUGAAUCAUCGAAUCUUUGAACGCACAUUGCGCCCCUUGGUAUUCCAUGGGGCAUGCCUGUUCGAGCGUCAUUUGUACCUUCAAGCUUUGCUUGGUGUUGGGUGUUUGUCCUUGCUCUAGUGGCGGGACUCGCCUUAAAGUAAUUGGCAGCCUGUGUUUUGGUUUUGAAGCGCAGCACAAGUCGCGAUUCAAGUCUAUACGCUAGUUUCCACAAGUCUUUUAUCACUUUUGACCUCGGAUCAGGUAGGGAUACCCGCUGAACUUAAGCAUAUCAAUAAGCGGAGGA
This 335-nucleotide unclassified non-coding RNA is filed under the name soil metagenome. Its description in RNAcentral is "partial contains 5.8S ribosomal RNA, internal transcribed spacer 2, and large subunit ribosomal RNA". The stretch from base 1 to 120 matches the Rfam family "5.8S ribosomal RNA", at positions 35 to 154 of the family's 154-position model. The record is from RNAcentral.